This 253-nucleotide ribosomal RNA is filed under the name uncultured bacterium. RNAcentral describes it as "partial 16S ribosomal RNA". It matches the Rfam family "Bacterial small subunit ribosomal RNA", at positions 524 to 776 of the family's 1533-position model. The record is from RNAcentral.
GCCAGAGGAGGCAAUUGUUGUUCGGAAUCAUUGGGCUUAAAGCGCGCGUAGGCGGCCUUGUAAGUGUCUUGUGAAAUCCCACGGCUCACCCGUGGAACUGCAGGGCAAACUGCAAGACUUGAGGUCGGUAGAGGCGCCUGGAACUCUAGGUGGAGCGGUGAAAUGCGUAGAUAUCUAGGGGAACGCCGGAGGCGAAAGCGGGGCGCUGGGCCGAUUCUGACGCUGAUGCGCGAAAGCGUGGGGAGAAAACAGG